UUUCCGUAGGUGAACCUGCGGAAGGAUCAUUAUCGUGGGUAGAAGGGGUGUCGCCACGCGCGGGGCCCCGCUUCUCAUCCAAAACUACGUCUAACCAUCGUUGCCUCGGCGGGUUCGCCCGCCGGAGGACGCUGCAAAACCGGCUGCAACUGUACCGUCUGAAAACCUUUUGAAUGCAAAAGCACAACUUUUAACAACGGAUCUCUUGGCUCCGGCAUCGAUGAAGAACGCAGC
Molecule: unclassified non-coding RNA, 234 nt
Filed under: uncultured fungus
Lineage: Eukaryota; Fungi
Description: sequence contains ITS1, 5.8S rRNA gene
Rfam family: 5.8S ribosomal RNA (bases 186-234)
Source: RNAcentral